RNAcentral lists this long non-coding RNA (1256 nucleotides) under Onthophagus taurus. RNAcentral describes it as "uncharacterized LOC111427835, transcript variant X4". The record is from RNAcentral. Lineage: Eukaryota; Metazoa; Arthropoda; Insecta; Coleoptera; Scarabaeidae.
UGUAUGUUGCGUCUUCUAAAAUCGAUAUUAUUCUAUGGAUUUUCCAGAGUCGUCAAAAAUACAAUAACAAGAACCACAAUAAAUCAGAGUGUCCCUUACGUGAACCGAAAUUUCCAAAGUUGGACAAUUGAAGUGCCCAGGAAGAAAAGAUAAAAGCUAUACGCUGUGUACUGUAUAAGUUGUUACAUAAUGUGCCAUUCAUCGAUGAACAGUACUUAGGUUCAGUGAUUCUAUAUGUGUGUAAAGAAGACUAGGUUGGGUGAUUCUAAAUAUUGGUAUCUCGUGAAAAAACCAGGAAUUGAUGACAACGAAGAAAAUGAUGAUAAAAGUGGGGAGCAAGGUCAAAACAUGCGGUAUUUUGAUUGGCAUAAUUUAAAAGCUCCAAACCAAGACUCUGUUAGCUUAGGCAAACAAGUAUCAAUACUGAACCUAAGUCUAAGUACUACUGUUCAAAUAACAUCCGAUGAAAAAACGUAUGUUCAUCGUCAUGCUAGUGAAGAAUUUGAUCCUAGAUACAUGAAACCGACUGUCAAACAUAGAAGUGGAAUAGAAUGUUUAAUGCUAAAAAAUAGUGGUGAUGACAUGGUAGUAAAUCUUGUAGCUGAUAACUUAACGGAAGGUAUUGUGGGAGUUACUUGAGUAGAAGAGUAUGAUAUAUGAAGGAAUUUUGGUGGAAACGGUGAAAUCCCAGAACUUUAAAAUAGAGAUAGAAAUAGAAAUAGAACUGUAUUGAUUGUAGCUCUUUCAAGGGUACUGAUACAAAUCAGCCAUAUCGUUUUUUAUGAUGAACAUAUCGUAUCAGUGUCAAACGUUACUUUUGCAUUUAAACGCUUCAUACAGAAGCUUAUUAAUCGACGCAGAGGAAAUAUUAGAUAUUUUUGUGGAUUUUUGACAAUGAUCUCACCGGUUUUUCAAAUUACACAAAAUCCGAGAUAAUAAGUAUAAAGUUGAUCAAAAUUCUCCACCAUUAAAAAAAAUUAUGUUUCACAAUAAUGUUAAGCAAUACGGUACAUUUUUAUUACAUAAAACUAUGGAUUACAUAUCAUUUUAUAAAUAGCAUGAAAAACAGUCAUUCAAUUGAUAGUAACUUGAGAACGUUGUGUUUUAUGGGACGUUUCAAUUAACAGAGGGAAUAUAGAAGAAUUGAAACAAAUUUACGUUUUAAUAUGUGAGGCAACUAAAAGAGUAAGGAAGUUUAACUUACCUAAAAUGAACUAAAAAUCGUUUAGUUUAAACUUUUGGUUAUAUCAAUAAAA